This is a long non-coding RNA of Ipomoea nil (Japanese morning glory), 87 nucleotides long. RefSeq lists it as uncharacterized. NCBI's taxonomy places the organism in Eukaryota, Viridiplantae, Streptophyta, Magnoliopsida, Solanales, Convolvulaceae. The record is from RefSeq and is a predicted model, not a curated record. The transcript is spliced from 3 exons.
UUUUAUUUUAAAAGAAAAAAAGUACAUAUUAUUAAUAAUAUCGCAAUAACAUGCAUUAUCUAAACAUUUGUAAAAUUAAAGCCUUUU